UCUCUCUUUUUAAAAUAGGACACUACCUCUCUAACCCACCACCACUCACUCACUGUCAGUAAGAAAAAAACGAAAAAGACAAAAAUAAAAAAGAGAAGAAACUAUUUUAACUUAUUCACCUCCAUUAACCAUACAGACGCCACCAAUACUCCAUUCGUUCGUGAAACCUUGCGUCGGCGACUCCACCCUCCGCCCAAAAACAAUCCAUCACCGCGGCCCCUUUAACCUCGUCGCGCCGCUCGCCUCUUCUUCACCGGCGAAACUCACAAACCACCAAUACGUUUCACCUCAUCUUUCAUCUCAUCGCGGACUCUCCUUUUCUCUGUCAAAACCAACAUUGUCCUCACUUCCAACUCCAACUUCACCGCCACACAACAUCUUCCUUCCGCCACGACUCACACAGGCAACUCCGUGUUGACUUCCAUCUUAAAUCUAACCACUUAAACAACUCAGAUCUGAUCUCCCUCCGUUUCAUUUUCCGACAAGAUCUGACCUACUUCACCCUAACCUCACACACAUCAUCUUGCUUCCGUCACUCUAACAAGCAUAAUCUCAACGUGAGCAACUCCACCGGCAUUGCUUCAUUCGGCUCGUCGCACACUACACUGCUUGAAACAACAACUUCAGUCGCCACUAGAAGCUCUAACCAUAAGUCAACAAGCCACAACAACAAAAUCAUAAAUCUGAACAUGUCCACCAUGAAGGGUACUCCGUUACGCAUCAAAUACAACAGUUAUCGUCAUUUCCGUCGGUAAUAACUC
Molecule: long non-coding RNA, 761 nt
Filed under: Lathyrus oleraceus (garden pea)
Lineage: Eukaryota; Viridiplantae; Streptophyta; Magnoliopsida; Fabales; Fabaceae
Description: Pisum sativum (pea) long non-coding RNA (PSAT_LNC035080)
Source: RNAcentral